RNAcentral lists this long non-coding RNA (7445 nucleotides) under Arabidopsis lyrata. RNAcentral's name for it is "long non-coding RNA (ALYR_LNC001107)". Lineage: Eukaryota; Viridiplantae; Streptophyta; Magnoliopsida; Brassicales; Brassicaceae. The record is from RNAcentral.
GCAAAAGAAGAAGAAGUUGUGAUGGCUUCCUCUAUGCUCUCCUCUGCCGCUGUGGUUACCUCCCCAGCUCAAGCCACCAUGGUCGCUCCAUUCACCGGCUUGAAGUCAUCCGCUACUUUCCCCGUCACCCGCAAGGCCAACAACGACAUUACUUCUAUCUCAAGCAACGGCGGAAGAGUUAGCUGCAUGAAGGUAAUGUCCUAUAAAAACUGUAUUUUGUCAUGUGUAAUUAGUGAAAUUGAACAAAACUUAGAAUAAUUGGAAUUGGGAGUUAUAGGUGUGGCCACCAAUUGGAAAGAAGAAGUUUGAGACUCUAUCUUACCUCCCUGACCUUACUGACGUCGAAUUGGCUAAGGAAGUUGACUACCUUCUCCGCAACAAGUGGAUUCCUUGUGUUGAAUUCGAGUUAGAGGUAAUAAACACUGGACCUUUCGUUUGUCUCUAAUCAUUAUAUAUUAUUUUCUUACAUAGCUAAAAACCAAAGUCAAUAAGCUUAUUUUCGUUUGUCUCUAAUCAUUGUUCAUUGAAUGGAUUUCGUAUUCAUUUAUAGCAUGGAUUUGUGUACCGUGAGCAUGGAAACACACCUGGAUACUACGAUGGACGGUACUGGACAAUGUGGAAGCUUCCAUUGUUCGGAUGCACCGACUCCGCUCAAGUGUUGAAGGAAGUGCAAGAGUGCAAGAAGGAGUACCCUAACGCCUUCAUUAGGAUCAUCGGAUUUGACAACAACCGUCAAGUCCAGUGCAUCAGUUUCAUUGCCUACAAGCCCCCAAGCUUCACUGAUUCUUAAUUAAAUCCUUUCUGGAAUAUUCAAUGUUGACUAUCCGGAACAAUUUUGUAUGGUCAAUGUAAAUUUAAGUAACUAUUAUCUAGCCAACUUAAACGUUGAGCAAUUGUUUUGCGAAAAGUGAAAAAGUUGAAGGUUUAUUUUCUAUCAUUUCCUCUAUAAUUAUAUCUAUUCAUAUCAUUUCAUUUUUGAUCUUAUCACUUUGAACUCUUUCAUCUUCGAUUUAGCUCUUUUAAGCAACAUUUUAUUUCCUUUACAUUUCCCUCCUAAUUUUUGCUUUUGAUUCUCUAGACUAACCUAUAAUAGAAGAGAGACCUUUUUAGAUACCUUUUUGGAAAAACUUUGCACAUGAAAUCAUAACAAAGAUGCCUCAAUAAAUCAAAUCUCGAAAGGGCCAGUACCUUGUGACUUAGAUGGAUGGGCUAGGACGAUCUCGCUUUCGAAAAAAAGAUUUAUUUGAUUUUGCUGUGGGUGGAGCAAUGUUGACUACCUCCGCACUAUUUUCUUGAACGGUUUUGGCUAUUUUGUACCUUGUACGCGCUUCUGCUCACGGGAAAUUUGUGAGCUUUAAGUUGGUAUUGUGGAUCCAUGACCAUAGCUUCUUCCUGUGGCCUUAGGGAGAGUUCUUGCCUCGGUUCCACACCGUCCAUUGAAGUGUGCUAUGAAAAUUCCCCACAAUCUGUCAUGUCUUCCAUGCUUAAGUUGACAUGGUGGAAAUCAUCUUGAGGUGCCACAUUUUAAGUGGGCCGUACGUGCAAUGGUGUGGUGCUCCGAAAGGAACGGUAGCAUGGGUUCCUAUAGCAUUGGAUCGUUUUCUAAACAAUAUGCAUUAUGUGUUUAUAAAUUUUAGUAAUUGUACAUACAUGUCCCAGUUUAAAAACAGAUUAACAUACAUUAUAAUUUUAAGGGCUGCCUAUAGCGUUACACCUAUACUAUAGCGUUUCAACUCCUAUCCACCUGUACUUUCGACCUCUGCCCAAUUCACCUUAUACUUGUUUUAAACUUCCUAAUUCCACCUAAACUAUUAAAUUCUCCAUAAUUAACCAAAAUCAAGAACUCUCUAUAAUUGCGAUUAAAAAUCGUUCAAAUCGCGUUUACUGUAGGCCAACCCGAGUCAGAUCCGACCAGCUUCGAAGACUUCUUUCACCAUAAGGGUUUGACUCGUGUUCAUUUGUUUUGUCGGGUCAACCUCGGAUUAAUAUAAACACAUAUUUUUUUACUGCAAUUUGAACUAUUUUUAAUCGUAAUUAUAGAGAGUUGGGCAGAUGUCGAAAGUACAUGUGGAUAGGAGUUGAAACGAUAUAUAUAGUAUAGUUGUAACGCUAUAGGCAGCCCUAAUUUUAAUAAGAAUGAUAUAAACUCAACUAAACUUCCUCUUCUUAGUUUGAAACUUUGCAUGACCAUUAACUCUCUUAUACUGCAUAAGACAUAAUUAGUGACAUAUUUUUUUCUUUCUAUUAUCAAUAUUUUCGUUAGCAUGUACUCGUUGUAAGAUGAAUAGAGAAAUAAUUGAAUUAUGAAAUAACGAAAUCAAUGUAUAUAUAUAUAAAACAAAAACAAUUUUACGCUGAACAAUUUUUUUUUAAAAAAAGGCAAAAAAAUUGCUUGUUUCAUAUUAUAGGAUGUUUUGGACCUUUUUUUUUGUUUCACAAUAUAUAAUGCUUUGAAGAAAAAAUACAAGUUUCUAUGUAAAACAUUAAAUUUAAUAGAUUAUUGACUAUUUACAUUAUGCAGUAAAUUAUAUCACUGAUUAAAUUAUUUUUAAUAGAUAUUAAUUUUUGUUUUAAUGUUAAAAACUCAAGAUUAGUUAAUUUCUUAAACUUUGUGCUUUCAUCUUUUUUUUUAUCUUUUUUUUUUGUCAUCCGAAAUUAAUUAUACCUCAAAAGAGAGAGUAUUAUUUGAAACAAAGAGAGUAUUAUUUAGCAGAUAAAUGACUUUUAUCUGAUUUAAUUAUAAUUUUAAAAUGUGCGGGAUGAAUUAAAAGAUCAUUUAUCAUUUUUCACGUUUUGUUUUUUUCCAGUUAGGUUUUUGUGAAUGGUUUUUACUCAGCGUAAUCAUGUUUUAAGAACAAGAACGUGAGAAAGUUAACAAAAUACCGUUGCAAGACUUUAUUUUUGUUUUACACAAAAUGUAGUUUUAUAUUUUCAAAGUAGUUUUUUUUAAUAGAAUUUACUUAUAUUCUUUUUAGUUAAGAUAAUCAAAUGGGAAAAUAAAAAUAUUAAUGUGUUAAUACAAGAUAAUAGAAAUUUAAUCAUUUUAAUAUAUAUGUAAAAAGUAUUCAACCGAUAUUUACAAUUAGACAGAACUAAGAAGUAUUAAAUUUCUCACCUCACCUCCCAAAAGAAAGGAGCCAAAAGCAACCGAUCAAGUGGAGACCAGUACUAGCCAUACACAUUCACUCGUUCCCUUACAAGAGAAAGAUAAGAUUAUGGAGUUUUCUGCCACUUGGUCUUAUCCUAGUGGUCCGAAUUGAUAAGGGUUUCAACACCUUUCCUUAAUCCUGUGGCAAUUAACGACGUUAUCAUGAAUUAUGGCCACUUUGAUCAUUAGGGCUUUUUGCCUUGCAGUUCUCACUAUAUAAAGAUGACCAAAUCAAUCGACAAACAAGUAAAAGAAACAACAAGAAGUAGUGAUGGCUUCAUCUAUGCUCUCCUCUGCCGCUAUGGUUACCUCCCCAGCUCAAGCCACCAUGGUCGCUCCAUUCACCGGCUUGAAGUCAUCCGCUGCUUUCCCGGUCACCCGCAAGGCCAACAACGACAUUACUUCUAUCUCAAGCAACGGCGGAAGAGUUAGCUGCAUGAAGGUAAUGUCCUAUAAAAACUGUAUUUUGUCAUGUGUAAUUAGUGAAAUUGAACAAAACUUAGAAUAAUUGGAAUUGGGAGUUAUAGGUGUGGCCACCAAUUGGAAAGAAGAAGUUUGAGACUCUAUCUUACCUCCCUGACCUUACUGACGUCGAAUUGGCUAAGGAAGUUGACUACCUUCUCCGCAACAAGUGGAUUCCUUGUGUUGAAUUCGAGUUAGAGGUACUAAACACCGAACUUUUCCUUUGUCUCUAAUCAUCCUUUAUUAUUUCUGUUCAUUGGUAGAAACAUAAGUCAAUAACCGGAUUUUAAAACCCGAAAUAGACUAUAACCGUGUGACUCCUCGACUAUCAAUGGUAUUGAAUGGUUUUGUCAUCUGUUUAUAGCACGGAUUUGUGUACCGUGAGCACGGAAACACUCCCGGAUACUACGAUGGACGGUACUGGACAAUGUGGAAGCUUCCAUUGUUCGGAUGCACCGAUUCUGCUCAAGUGUUGAAGGAAGUGCAAGAAUGCAAGAAGGAGUACCCUAAUGCCUUCAUUAGGAUCAUCGGAUUCGACAACAACCGUCAAGUCCAAUGCAUCAGUUUCAUUGCCUACAAGCCCCCAAGCUUCACCGAUGCUUAAUUCCCUUUCUGGAAUGUUCAACGUUGACUAGUAUUUCGGAAUCCAAUUCUAUGUGGUCAAUGCAAAUUUAAGAAAUUAAUUAGCCGACUUAAAAGUUGAGGAAUUAUUGUGUGAAAGUGAAAAAUUUGAAGGUUUUUUCUAUCAAUUUCCUUAUAAUUAUAUUUACUCAUUUGAUUUCAUUUUUUUUCUUCUAGCUCUUUGAGCUCUAUUUUUCGUUUAGCUCCUUUUGACAACAUUCCGGUUCAUUUAAAUUCUCCUCAUUAUUCUUGCUUUUGAGAAAUUGGCUACAUUGUUUCGAGAAAUUUUGCACAUGAAAGCAUAACAAAGAUGCCUCAAUUUAUCAAACCUCGAUGAUUUAGAACAAAAGAUUAUUUAAGGGGGUGUAACCUUUUAAGAUGAAAUAGCCAUUGGAGAUAGCAAAAGGUAGUAAAAGACGUAUACACUAUAAACAAAAUCCAAAUGUAUGCUUUUAAAAUUAUAAACAUGUAUUCCAAACGCCUAAGUGGAAUAUUCAGUUUAAUUCAAGUCCAAGAAAUGGCAUUAUAUAAAGCAAGGAUCGACAAAGACUGAAAUUUGUCUAGCAUGAAGUUACUAAAUUUUGGAAAUUGUGUUCACGUUAAAAGCUGAAACUUAACAGUUAUUUAUAAGGAAAAGCAGUUAAUGUUCCCAAAAAGUUCUAAAUGAAACUAGAAACCAAAUGAUAAAGAAAACGUAGCAUCUACAUGUUUGGUUUUAGUUUUUUUUUUUUUGACAAAAAUAUUCAAAUGUUUUUAGAUUCUUCUAUGCAAACGAUAUAUAGAAAAUAUAUACAUGAUUCAAAUAUAAUACAAAUAAAAAUAAUUAUUGAAAUUACCGAACAUUUUUUUGCAUCUCCCUGAUUUACUUCCCACAUUUUCGUUUCAAAUAAAAUUCAAGAAAAAGAAAGACGACGAAAAAAAAUGACUUAAAAAGACAAGGGACAGAAGCUGGUAACUUAGAUGGAUGGGUUAGGACUAUCUCACUUUCGAAAAAUGUUUAUUUGGUUGAGGUGCGGAGUGGAGUGGAGCUUGUGAUUCUUUGCCCUAUAUGAGAGUUUUUUCGUGACCAAUUAUGGUGAUUGUGUACUUUGUAUACAUGUUUCUUCUCAUAUGGUUGAAAUGGGGGCAUUUGUGAGCUUUAAGGUGGCAGUCUUGAUCCACGACCAUAGCUUUACAUGACUUUAAGGUGAGUUCUUGCCUUGGUUCUACACCGUUGAUUGAAAUGAAUUAUGAAAAUUCCUCAUGAUCCGCCAUUUUUACAUGCUAAGUUUUUUUUUUUUGAAAAAUGCAUGCUUAAGUUGAAACGGUGGUUAUCAACUUGAGGUGCCAUAUUUGUGAUUAAGUGGGCCGUAAGUGCAACGGCGUGGUACUCAAAGAGGAACGGUGGGGUGGGUUUCACAUCGUGAUUGUGAUGUGAGUAUGUAUGUGACCAGAGUCCAGGGCCGGCUCAAAAUUAUUCGAGACCUUGUGCUGAUGUAUAAAAAUUGGUUUUUAAAUAAUAUAGUGAAAAUUUUGGACCCUCAAUCUUAGAGGAAAUUGAAAUUUUUUUUUGAGGACCCUGUGCUUUUGCUCCUCUAGCACACCCUUAGAGCUGGCACUGCCAGAGUCACAAGAUAAUCGUGAGCUGGUCUUACUUGUUGAUCGAGAGGCAGCAUUAACUCAUAUAGAAGAAACCAUGGACCUCCGACCUUGGGAGGUUUUCUUGGAAAUUCUUCCAUGAUGGAAGCUUACCGCAUGAGCAUGAUACAGGUAGAUGCAUGAUGGUUUCGGUUGUUUGCUCGAUCGCUUUCUACCACAAACAUAUCUUGCAUCUAAUUGUUGUUGCCUUGUUGGUUCUCAAAUAUUUACUCUCGAAACAGUAAGAUGUUGUUAGCCAUACGUAAAUCAGAAAUAAAAGUAUAGUUGGCUAAAACUGCAGUGAGUAUAGAAUUAACCGAUAUCAAUUUAUUCAAAUUUCCGUCUCUCUUUUCUUUUGUUGGCUAAUAUAUUAUCAUUUGAAGAUAAUAUAUAGUUUUUCCAAGAAAAGAAUAUUGACAAUUUUUUUGUGGUAAGUGAUUUUAAGAAUGACUCCAGAAUCGACAGGUUACCCAGACAAUAUUUAUCAUGGAUAAACCUAUCGAAAAAUCUUAAAAAUCAGUAUUAAUAAAACGGAAGUAGUAAUGAACUUCUAAGCUAUGCAUUACAAUACAUUUAUCUCAAUGUCGAAUUUAAAUAAUUUUCUUAGAACUCCUUUUUUAAUGCGACCUUAUUCACCAAAUCAAGUGAAGCCAAAUUAAAUCAUGCAUGGUAAAUAAAAUAUCCAAAAGCAUUAAAUUUAAGGUAAUGCGUCUGAUUUCUUUCCUCCCAAACGAAAGGAGCCAAAAGCAACCGAUCAAGUGGAAACCAAUAACCACACAUUCACUUCGUUUCCCCCACAAGAGAAGAUAAGAUAAUGGAGUUUUCUGCCACGUGGCAUUAUCCUAGUGGUCCGUACCGAUAAGGGUGUCAACACCUUUCCUUAAUCCUGUGGCAGUAAACGACGUUAUCAUGAAUUAUGGACCCUUUGAUCAUGAGGGGCUUUUUUCCUGUUGCGGUUCUCACUAUAUAAAGAUGACAAAACCAGUAGACAAACAAGUAAGUAAGAGAAAAGAGCAAAAGAAGAAGAGAAACAACAAGAAGUAGUAAUGGCUUCCUCUAUGCUCUCCUCGGCCGCUGUGGUUACCUCCCCGGCUCAAGCCACCAUGGUCGCUCCAUUCUCCGGCUUGAAGUCAUCCGCUGCUUUCCCGGUCACCCGCAAGGCCAACAACGACAUUACUUCCAUCGCAAGCAACGGGGGAAGAGUUAGCUGCAUGAAGGUAAAGUAAAGUCAUUAAUGAAAGAUGUCUUUUGUCAUGGCAAUUAGUGUAAUUGAACAAAACAUAGAAUAAUUGGAAUUGGAUUCGGGAAUUAUAGGUAUGGCCACCAAUCGGAAAGAAGAAGUUUGAGACUUUAUCUUACCUCCCUGACCUUACUGACGUCGAAUUGGCUAAGGAAGUUGACUACCUUCUCCGCAACAAGUGGAUUCCUUGUGUUGAAUUCGAGUUAGAGGUAAUAAACACUGAACCUUUCCUUUGUCUCUAAUCAUUAUAUAUUAUUUUCUUACAUAGCUAAAAACCAAAGUCAAUAAGCUUAUUUUCUACACCAAAGUUGAGGCUAUCAUUGUCCAUCGAAUGGUUUUCUUAUGUGUUUAUAGCAC